GUGGCGGCGUAACACAAAGAUAAUGAAAUCAUUCUUGAGGUUUGAUUAAUAACUGUAUUUUCUUUUUGGGGAAUUUUUUUCUUGACUAAAUGUAAGAAACAAGGAAAAAAAAAGAAAAGUAGAACCUAUUAAUGUUAUCUCUUAAUAAUAAAACAUUCAAACAAACAACAAACACUUCACCUUUUUUCAACAUUAAAGGGGACUUGAAAACAUCUUAAAAUAUCAACCAUACAAAAAAGUCGCUGAACUUACGAUAAUACAACUCCAACUAUAUAUAUAGUGGCCUCAUAAUUUUAACUAGUCACCGCACUCGAUGAGGUGUUGUCCUAGAUAGCCAAUCGAGCUACAUGUUUUAUGGGCAUCGAUAUAAGUACUUAGCACAUAAAGCUAACAUACAGCAACAAUGCUUUAUUCUAGUUUAAACACCUAAAUUACAUAGCUAUGCUUUUGGCUAAUGGGGCGGAUUUCCAAUGCCGGGGCUCGGGCCCGGUGUUGUAGGUCUGAAAUAAUUAGUUGCUGCAAGAUUGUGGGCUAAUGGUUCAGAGUGGAGAAUAAAGUUUGUGGCUAUAUGAUCUUUCCCCAUUUCAUUCCCAUUGUUGCCAACGUUCUCUAUCUUAAUGAAUUGCCUUCCUUCAGAACACAUGAUUCCAUGAUGAAUCAAAACUAGUAUAAGAAGGAAAGCACAAUUGAUGCAAGGAAACUUGAUUUUGGCCAUGAUCAUUGGGUUAGGCUAGCUAGGGGGAAGUGGUGAUAGGUAGAAUAGCCCCUUAACUCUUACUGCUUUAGG
Long non-coding RNA from Malania oleifera, 787 nucleotides. RefSeq lists it as uncharacterized. The transcript is spliced from 2 exons. The record is from RefSeq and is a predicted model, not a curated record. Lineage: Eukaryota; Viridiplantae; Streptophyta; Magnoliopsida; Santalales; Ximeniaceae.